AUUGAACGCUGGCGGCAGGCCUAACACAUGCAAGUCGAACGGUAACAGGAAGCAGCUUGCUGCUUUGCUGACGAGUGGCGGACGGGUGAGUAAUGUCUGGGAAACUGCCCGAUGGAGGGGGAUAACUACUGGAAACGGUAGCUAAUACCGCAUAACGUCGCAAGACCAAAGAGGGGGACCUUAGGGCCUCUUGCCAUCGGAUGUGCCCAGAUGGGAUUAGCUAGUAGGUGGGGUAACGGCUCACCUAGGCGACGAUCCCUUGCUGGUCUGAGAGGAUGACCAGCCACACUGGAACUGAGACACGGUCCAGACUCCUACGGGAGGCAGCAGUGGGGAAUAUUGCACAAUGGGCGCAAGCCUGAUGCAGCCAUGCCGCGUGUAUGAAGAAGGCCUUCGGGUUGUAAAGUACUUUCAGCGGGGAGGAAGGGAGUAAAGUUAAUACCUUUGCUCAUUGACGUUACCCGCAGAAGAAGCACCGGCUAACUCCGUG
This 490-nucleotide ribosomal RNA is filed under the name uncultured bacterium. RNAcentral's name for it is "partial 16S ribosomal RNA". It matches the Rfam family "Bacterial small subunit ribosomal RNA", at positions 30 to 507 of the family's 1533-position model. The record is from RNAcentral.